UCACGGUUAAAACAGCGACAAGGAAACGAAAGAAAAGGGGGGGAAAAAGAAAAAGAAAAAGUAGAAGACGAGGCAAACGAACUUUGAAUAAUCCCGGUUUGAGCAGAGCAGCGGGUGGUGGCGGAGGUGGGUUAGCCGCGGCAGCGGGUGAUGGCGGAGCAGCCGCGGGAGUAGGGGUUGGCCUGGCCGCCAGGGCGGCAGUUGUAGUAGGAGGCGCCGCGGACGGAGCACGGCGUGGUGUCGCGCCGCAGCGCGCCGUAGCUGAUGUACCCCUGCCCCUGCAGCACCCGCCUCACCACCGCGGCGCCGUCGGCCGCCGCAUC
This 323-nucleotide long non-coding RNA is filed under the name Oryza sativa (Asian cultivated rice). RNAcentral describes it as "long non-coding RNA (OSAT_LNC000459)". The record is from RNAcentral. Lineage: Eukaryota; Viridiplantae; Streptophyta; Magnoliopsida; Poales; Poaceae.